GACGAACGCUGGCGGCGUGCUUAACACAUGCAAGUCGAACGGAAAGGCCCUGCUUUUGUGGGGUGCUCGAGUGGCGAACGGGUGAGUAACACGUGAGUAACCUGCCCUUGACUUUGGGAUAACUUCAGGAAACUGGGGCUAAUACCGGAUAGGAGCUCCUGCUGCAUGGUGGGGGUUGGAAAGUUUCGGCGGUUGGGGAUGGACUCGCGGCUUAUCAGCUUGUUGGUGGGGUAGUGGCUUACCAAGGCUUUGACGGGUAGCCGGCCUGAGAGGGUGACCGGCCACAUUGGGACUGAGAUACGGCCCAGACUCCUACGGGAGGCAGCAGUGGGGAAUAUUACACAAUGGGCGGAAGCCUGAUGCAGAAACGCCGCGUGCGGGAUGACGGCCUUCGGGUUGUAAACCGCUUUCGCCUGUGACGAAGCGUGAGUGACGGUAAUGGGUAAAGAAGCACCGGCUAACUACGUG
Molecule: ribosomal RNA, 468 nt
Filed under: uncultured bacterium
Lineage: Bacteria
Description: partial 16S ribosomal RNA
Rfam family: Bacterial small subunit ribosomal RNA
Source: RNAcentral